RNAcentral lists this unclassified non-coding RNA (164 nucleotides) under uncultured Cortinarius. Its description in RNAcentral is "sequence contains ITS1". The record is from RNAcentral. Lineage: Eukaryota; Fungi; Basidiomycota; Agaricomycetes; Agaricales; Cortinariaceae.
UUGAAAUAAACCUGAUGGGUUGUUGCUGGUUCUCUAGGGAGCAUGUGCACGCCUUGUCAUCUUUAUAUCUCCACCUGUGCACUUUUUGUAGACCUUUCAGGUCUAUGUUGCUUCAUUUUACCCCAAUUGUAUGUCAAUAGAAUGUUGUGCCUAUAUAAUAUAUA